This 423-nucleotide ribosomal RNA is filed under the name uncultured bacterium. RNAcentral describes it as "bacterial SSU rRNA". It matches the Rfam family "Bacterial small subunit ribosomal RNA", at positions 207 to 622 of the family's 1533-position model. The record is from RNAcentral.
AAGACCUUGCGCUUUUGGAGCGGCCGAUGCCUGAUUAGCUUGUUGGUAAGGUAAAGGCUCACCAAGGCUUCGAUCAGUAGCUGGUCUGAGAGGACGGCCAGCCACACUGGGACUGAGACACGGCCCAGACUCCUACGGGAGGCAGCAGUGGGGAAUUUUGGACAAUGGGGGAAACCCUGAUCCAGCCAUGCCGCGUGAGUGAAGAAGGCCUUCGGGUUGUAAAGCUCUUUCAGCCGGAACGAAACGGUUACGGAUAAUACCCGUGACUACUGACGGUACCGGAAGAAGAAGCACCGGCUAACUACGUGCCAGCAGCCGCGGUAAUACGUAGGGUGCGAGCGUUAAUCGGAAUUACUGGGCGUAAAGCGUGCGCAGGUGGUUUUGUAAGUCAGAUGUGAAAGCCCCGGGCUCAACCUGGGAACU